RNAcentral lists this ribosomal RNA (407 nucleotides) under uncultured prokaryote. RNAcentral describes it as "bacterial SSU rRNA". It matches the Rfam family "Bacterial small subunit ribosomal RNA", at positions 355 to 776 of the family's 1533-position model. RNAcentral also lists the same sequence under 1 other name. The record is from RNAcentral.
UGGGGAAUAUUGGGCAAUGGGGGAAACCCUGACCCAGCGACGUCGCGUGAGGGAAGAAGGUCUUCGGAUUGUAAACCUUUGUCAACAGGGAAGAAGCAAGUGACGGUACCUGAAGAGGAAGCCACGGCUAACUACGUGCCAGCAGCCGCGGUAAUACGUAGGUGGCGAGCGUUAUCCGGAAUUACUGGGUGUAAAGGGUGUGUAGGCGGGGAUGCAAGUCAGAUGUGAAAUCCAUGGGCUCAACCUAUGGUGUGCAUUUGAAACUGCGUUUCUUGAGUGUGGGAGAGGUAAGCGGAAUUCCUAGUGUAGCGGUGAAAUGCGUAGAUAUUAGGAGGAACACCAGUGGCGAAGGCGGCUUACUGGACCACAACUGACGCUGAGACACGAAAGCGUGGGGAGCAAACAGG